CACAUGCAAGUCGAGGGGAAACGACAUCGAAAGCUUGCUUUUGAUGGGCGUCGACCGGCGCACGGGUGAGUAACGCGUAUCCAACCUGCCCAUCACUUGGGGAUAACCUUGCGAAAGUAAGACUAAUACCCAAUGACGUCUCUAGAAGACAUCUGAAAGGGAUUAAAGAUUUAUCGGUGAUGGAUGGGGAUGCGUCUGAUUAGCUUGUUGGCGGGGUAACGGCCCACCAAGGCUACGAUCAGUAGGGGUUCUGAGAGGAAGGUCCCCCACAUUGGAACUGAGACACGGUCCAAACUCCUACGGGAGGCAGCAGUGAGGAAUAUUGGUCAAUGGACGAGAGUCUGAACCAGCCAAGUAGCGUGCAGGAUGACGGCCCUAUGGGUUGUAAACUGCUUUUAUAAGGGAAUAAAGUGAGUCUCGUGAGGCUUUAUGCAUGUACCUUAUGAAUAAGGACCGGCUAAUUCCGUGCCAGCAGCCGCGGUAAUACGGAAGGUCCGGGCGUUAUCCGGAUUUAUUGGGUUUAAAGGGAGCGUAGGCCGGAGAUUAAGCGUGUUGUGAAAUGUAGAUGCUCAACAUCUGCACUGCAGCGCGAACUGGUUUCCUUGAGUACGCACAAAGUGGGCGGAAUUCGUGGUGUAGCGGUGAAAUGCUUAGAUAUCACGAAGAACUCCGAUUGCGAAGGCAGCUCACUGGAGCGCAACUGACGCUGAAGCUCGAAAGUGCGGGUAUCGAACAGGAUUAGAUACCCUGGUAGUCCGCACGGUAAACGAUGGAUGCCCGCUGUUGGUUUGAAUAGGUCAGCGGCCA
This 807-nucleotide ribosomal RNA is filed under the name uncultured bacterium. RNAcentral describes it as "bacterial SSU rRNA". It matches the Rfam family "Bacterial small subunit ribosomal RNA", at positions 52 to 849 of the family's 1533-position model. The record is from RNAcentral.